This 447-nucleotide ribosomal RNA is filed under the name uncultured bacterium. RNAcentral's name for it is "bacterial SSU rRNA". It matches the Rfam family "Bacterial small subunit ribosomal RNA", at positions 355 to 825 of the family's 1533-position model. The record is from RNAcentral.
UCGGGAAUAUUGGACAAUGGGCGCAAGCCUGAUCCAGCCAUGCCGGGUGAGUGACGAAGGUCUUCGGAUUGUAAAGCUCUUUUAGCAGGGAAGAUAAUGACGGUACCUGCAGAAUAAGCCCCGGCUAACUUCGUGCCAGCAGCCGCGGUAAUACGAAGGGGGCUAGCGUUGUUCGGAAUUACUGGGCGUAAAGCGCACGUAGGCGGAUUGAUAAGUUAGAGGUGAAAUCCCGGGGCUCAACCUCGGAACUGCCUUUGAUACUGUUAGUCUCGAGUCCGAUAGAGGUGAGUGGAAUUCCUAGUGUAGAGGUGAAAUUCGUAGAUAUUAGGAAGAACACCAGUGGCGAAGGCGGCUCACUGGAUCGGUACUGACGCUGAGGUGCGAAAGCGUGGGGAGCAAACAGGAUUAGAUACCCCCGUAGUCCCUGAGCGGGCUGGCAAGGCGCAU